This is a long non-coding RNA of Cyprinus carpio carpio, 1801 nucleotides long. The record is from Ensembl. NCBI's taxonomy places the organism in Eukaryota, Metazoa, Chordata, Actinopteri, Cypriniformes, Cyprinidae.
UUUAAAUCAUCAAUAUCAUGCAUAUGCCUGAUGCGACCUGGCGUUUUUUACAAAGCAUGAAUAACUGAAUAUCAAAGACAUUCAAAGAGCAAAUGACAAUGUUCUCUUUGCCACAGCAAUGUUUCAAGAGUUAAAGAUUUAAUCAAAAGUUAAAGAUGUAAUCUACUUUUAACCCUUGAUGUCUUCCAGAUCCACAUAUAAGUAUAUUCACUGAAAUUUACAGUGACUGUUCCUGUACUAGAAAGACCUGCUGUCCAAAACAUUAGACCACACAUGAAAGUUUUUGCAAUUUUUUUAACAAAAUGCAGAGCUAAAAUGCAGCAUGGAUAGAAGUUAAAAGUAACAGCAUAUUCAUAUAACUUGAAUACGGCUGGAGGUUUUUCAAUUAUUGUUAUUUUUCUUUUUAAAUAAAUUUUUGUUGUAUUAUUGUAUGUUUAAACUGCAUUUUUAAUGUAUUUAAAAAAUAAAUUAAUAGAUGGAACAAAUAUAUUACCAUGUUCAUGUUCCAGUUCCAUUCGAUUUUCAUAUGGUUAAAACUUUAGAAACAGCAUUUACACUCUCAACAUGGUCAUAUAUAUUUUUGAUUAUUAUCAUAAUCAAUAUUAUUUAUUAAUAGCAAAUCAUAUCAAAGUCUUAUGUGUUUUUAAACAGUUUUACAUUACUUGAAAAAAUAACAACAUGGUAAUACAUUAACAGCAAUUAUGUGUGUGUGUGUGUGUGUGUGACAUUUUUGUGUAAAUAGCCAGCUGACCUUUUUUAUCAGUAUUGUUUUACCCUGAUUAUAUACAUGCCUCACUUUAGGAGCUCAAGGGCAUCAAAGGAGAGGCCACCUCUGUUGCUGCUGGACAGUGUUGCUUAGGAAAAAAAUAAAAAAAAAUAAGACUCAUUUACACACACUUAAUCUCAUACGGUUCCUCUUAGAAACAGCCCAUGUGCCAUCUCUUGUUUUGUGAAAGGUAACAGAACAAUCUAUCCCAGGCUUGCAGGGCUGGUUGGAGAGAUAAUUUGUGGUUCGAGAGCACUGUCAAUCACGGGACCAGGAAAACUGUCAGCACGCUGUGGAGUGGAUUCUCUUAUCAAAGGAGGCAACUGGAAACAAGAAAUAGUUAACAUGCAGCUCAGUGGCACGCAUGAAAAGAGGCAGCGUGCAGUCUCCAGGGACUCGCUGUGGGGACGAACCAGUAGAGCAGAACUGUCCUAUAGCAUCAACCACAGACGACUCCAAACCAUCCUCCAUCUGGGGUCAGUAGGAUCUUCCCCCUCACAUACAAACAUCAAGACCACUGCCGCUUCCUGCACUGACUCGCCUCAGCUGGAGUGAUUCACUCUCUCACCCUGUCGACCCUCACCAGCAUAUGGGUGUCGAGAGACAUGACAGACUGUGUUAAGAUUACCCCACCAAUGAACGAGAUAAUGCUUGACCCAAGAGCCCAUGAGAGUGCAUGCGAAAGACUAAGACGAUGUAAUAAACGGGUUGAUGAACAGGCUUCGCAUUUCCCAGCAGCCAUUGUGGGGAGCAAAUGCAUGCUGGUAGUGGGAUGAAGCUACAAAUGUUAAUGCAGACAAAAACAAUGAGGCUGGACAUUGAAGAAUUAAUUUACCAAACACUCUGAAACCUCUGACCGCUUUGUCACAUGGUUAAAUGCAUCCUGUCACCCUAAAAAAAACUUUCAACCACUUAAACUUAAACGUAAACAUCCACAUACACACACUUCAUAUUUAAUUGUAUUAAUGCUACUCAACAAUCUUUCCUAACUUAUUGGAGGGGAAAGGAAUAUCAUCUUUAUCUGACAAUUAGUUA